This 429-nucleotide ribosomal RNA is filed under the name Chloroflexota bacterium. Its description in RNAcentral is "Chloroflexi bacterium partial 16S ribosomal RNA". It matches the Rfam family "Bacterial small subunit ribosomal RNA", at positions 355 to 776 of the family's 1533-position model. The record is from RNAcentral. Lineage: Bacteria; Bacillati; Chloroflexota.
UGGGGAAUAUUGCACAAUGGGCGCAAGCCUGAUGCAGCCAUGCCGCGUGUGUGAAGAAGGCCUUCGGGUUGUAAAGCACUUUCAGCGGGGAGGAAGGCGAUAAGGUUAAUAACCUUGUCGAUUGACGUUACCCGCAGAAGAAGCACCGGCUAACUCCGUGCCAGCAGCCGCGGUAAUACGGAGGGUGCAAGCGUUAAUCGGAAUUACUGGGCGUAAAGCGCACGCAGGCGGUCUGUCAAGUCGGAUGUGAAAUCCCCGGGCUCAACCUGGGAACUGCAUUCGAAACUGGCAGGCUAGAGUCUUGUAGAGGGGGGUAGAAUUCCGGGUGUAGCGGUGAAAUGCGUAGAGAUCUGGAGGAAUACCGGUGGCGAAGGCGGCCCCCUGGACAAAGACUGACGCUCAGGUGCGAAAGCGUGGGGAGCAAACAGG